Molecule: ribosomal RNA, 231 nt
Filed under: uncultured bacterium
Lineage: Bacteria
Description: partial 16S ribosomal RNA
Rfam family: Bacterial small subunit ribosomal RNA
Source: RNAcentral
GAUCCUGGCUCAGGAUGAACGCUAGCGACAGGCUUAACACAUGCAAGUCGAGGGGCAGCGGGGUGUAGCAAUACACCGCCGGCGACCGGCGCACGGGUGAGUAACGCGUAUGCAACUUGCCUAUCAGAGGGGGGAGUAACCCCGGCGAAAGUCGGACUAAUCCGCAUGAAGCAGGGAUCCCCGCAUGGGAAUAUUUGCUAAAGAUUCAUCGCUGAUAGAUAGGCAUGCGUU